CCUACGGGGGGCUGCAGUGGGGAAUAUUGGACAAUGGGCGAAAGCCUGAUCCAGCCAUGCCGCGUGUGUGAAGAAGGCCUUCGGGUUGUAAAGCACUUUCAGUGGGGAAGAAAGCCUUGGGGCUAAUACCCUCGAGGAAGGACAUCACCCACAGAAGAAGCACCGGCUAACUCCGUGCCAGCAGCCGCGGUAAUACGGAGGGUGCGAGCGUUAAUCGGAAUUACUGGGCAUAAAGCGCGCGUAGGCGGUCUGAUAAGCCGGUUGUGAAAGCCCCGGGCUCAACCUGGGAACGGCAUCCGGAACUGUCAGGCUAGAGUGCAGGAGAGGAAGGUAGAAUUCCCGGUGUAGCGGUGAAAUGCGUAGAGAUCGGGAGGAAUACCAGUGGCGAAGGCGGCCUUCUGGACUGACACUGACGCUGAGGUGCGAAAGCGUGGGUAGCAAACAGGAUUAGAUACCCGGGUAGUC
Molecule: ribosomal RNA, 465 nt
Filed under: Vreelandella stevensii
Lineage: Bacteria; Pseudomonadati; Pseudomonadota; Gammaproteobacteria; Oceanospirillales; Halomonadaceae
Description: partial 16S ribosomal RNA
Rfam family: Bacterial small subunit ribosomal RNA
Source: RNAcentral